Molecule: ribosomal RNA, 484 nt
Filed under: uncultured bacterium
Lineage: Bacteria
Description: partial 16S ribosomal RNA
Rfam family: Bacterial small subunit ribosomal RNA
Source: RNAcentral
AUUGAACGCUGGCGGCAGGCCCAACGCAUGCAAGUCGAGCGGAUGAAGGGAGCUUGCUCCUGGAUUCAGCGGCGGACGGGUGAGUAAUGCCUAGGAAUCUGCCUGGUAGUGGGGGAUAACGUCCGGAAACGGGCGCUAAUACCGCAUACGUCCUGAGGGAGAAAGUGGGGGAUCUUCGGACCUCACGCUAUCAGAUGAGCCUAGGUCGGAUUAGCUAGUUGGUGGGGUAAAGGCCUACCAAGGCGACGAUCCGUAACUGGCCUGAGAGGAUGAUCAGUCACACUGGAACUGAGACACGGUCCAGACUCCUACGGGAGGCAGCAGUGGGGAAUAUUGGACAAUGGGCGAAAGCCUGAUCCAGCCAUGCCGCGUGUGUGAAGAAGGUCUUCGGAUUGUAAAGCACUUUAAGUUGGGAGGAAGGGCAGUAAGUUAAUACCUUGCUGUUUUGACGUUACCAACAGAAUAAGCACCGGCUAACUUCGUG